Molecule: small RNA, 1431 nt
Filed under: Pan troglodytes (chimpanzee)
Lineage: Eukaryota; Metazoa; Chordata; Mammalia; Primates; Hominidae
Description: processed transcript
Source: RNAcentral
GUCUUAACAAGAAGAGAAGGCUUCAAUGGAUUCUCUUGUGGUCCUUGUGCUCUGUCUCUCAUGUUUGCUUCUCCUUUCACUCUGGAGACAGAGCUCUGGGAGAGGAAAACUCCCUCCUGGCCCCACUCCUCUCCCAGUGAUUGGAAAUAUCCUACAGAUAGGUAUUAAGGACAUCAGCAAAUCCUUAACCAAUCUCUCAAAGGUCUAUGGCCCUGUGUUCACUCUGUAUUUUGGCCUGAAACCCAUAGUGGUGCUGCAUGGAUAUGAAGCAGUGAAGGAAGCCCUGAUUGAUCUUGGAGAGGAGUUUUCUGGAAGAGGCAUUUUCCCACUGGCUGAAAGAGCUAACAGAGGAUUUGGAAUUGUUUUCAGCAAUGGAAAGAAAUGGAAGGAGAUCCGGCGUUUCUCCCUCAUGACGCUGCGGAAUUUUGGGAUGGGGAAGAGGAGCAUUGAGGACCGUGUUCAAGAGGAAGCCCGCUGCCUUGUGGAGGAGUUGAGAAAAACCAAGGGUGGGUGACCCUACUCCAUAUCACUGACCUUACUGGACUACUAUCUUCUCUACUGACAUUCUUGGAAACAUUUCAGGGGUGGCCAUAUCUUUCAUUAUGAGUCCUAGUUGUUAGCUCAUGUGAAGCGGGGGUUUGAAGCUGAGAGCCAAGGGAAUUUGCACAUAUUUGUGCUGUGUGUGUACAGGCAUGAUUGUGCAUACAGUGUGGGUAUAAAAGGUUCAUUUAAUCCCAUGUUCUCCUGAAUUUUGCUUUUUUGCUUUCAAAUAAGAAAUGAUGAAUAUAGAUUUUGAGUUCAUUUUUUGAAAGGGUUAAAGAGCAGUGUUUUUCCCAUUACCUAUUCCAGAACAUGUGACCAGAGAAUACUUGACAAGUCGACACGGUGGGAAUGGCCCUAUCAUACCCAUAUGGAGCAUGAACCAAAUGGCAUGUGCUUUUAUUUAAUUGGACUGUGUUUGUAUGGUCAGCCUCACUGACUUCUCUGGGGUUUCUUUUAGGCCCAUGCUUGCCAUUCUGGCCAGUAAUGACAUUCUACAGUUUUUAUUGCUUAGGCAUAUCUUAGUGCAGUUCUCAUCAAUUAUUAUUUCUCUGUAAACACAGCAUUAUUUUUAAAAUAGUAUUAAUUAUUUCUUGUUACUGUAUUGAUUUAUAUAUUUUCAGUAAAUACAUCCUGUAGCAUAAUUCUGUGAAAUACCCAAAUGUCAAUUUAUAAAAUGAUUUAUUUAACAAGAUUUUACUUAUUAGUAAUAACUCUGUAAUCUGCAUUCCCUAUGUAUGAUUUGGCUCUGUUUCAGUUUUGCUUAUCUCUUUCCAACCAUAUUUAUGAAAUUUUGGCUUAGAAAUUUAUGUUAAUUGUUUUUUUUCCAUGGCCAACUCUACUCAUCUAUGAAGUUUUACAAUGAAUCUGUUUAUCAGCUUGGAUACCAAA